CUGUAAGCCGUUGAAGGUCAAGGUGUGAACCAGGCUGGAGGUAUCAGAAGUGCGAAUGCUGACAUGAGUAACGAUAAAGGGAGUGAAAAACUCCCUCGCCGGAAACCCAAGGGUUCCUGUCCAACGUUAAUCGGGGCAGGGUUAGUCGGCCCCUAAGGCGAGGCUGAAAAGCGUAGUCGAUGGGAAACAGGUUAAUAUUCCUGUACUUGUUUGUAGUGCGAUGGGGAGACGGAGAAGGCUAGGCCAGCGCGGCGUUGGUUGUCCGUGUUUAAGCUAGUAGGCAGAGAUCUUAGGCAAAUCCGGGAUCUUAAUGUCGAGAGGUGAUGACGGUGACUCUACGGAGUCCGAAGUGGUCGAUGCCAUGCUUCCAGGAAAAUCCUCUAAGCUUCAGCUACAAAGAAACCGUACUCUAAACCGACACAGGUGGGUAGGUAGAGAAUACCAAGGCGCUUGAGAGAACUCGGGUGAAGGAACUAGGCAAAAUGGCACCGUAACUUCGGGAGAAGGUGCGCCGGUUUUGGUGGUUCAAUCGAACAUAAGCUGAGACCGGUCGAAGAUACCAGGUGGCUGCGACUGUUUAUUAAAAACAC
RNAcentral lists this non-coding RNA (590 nucleotides) under Oleibacter sp. HI0075. RNAcentral describes it as "bacterial LSU rRNA". It matches the Rfam family "Bacterial large subunit ribosomal RNA", at positions 1241 to 1816 of the family's 2925-position model. Lineage: Bacteria; Pseudomonadati; Pseudomonadota; Gammaproteobacteria; Oceanospirillales; Oceanospirillaceae. The record is from RNAcentral.